AGCAUUAUACCGUGAACUGCGAAUGGCUCAUUAAAUCAGUUAUCGUUUAUUUGAUAGUACCUUACUACUUGGAUAACCGUGGUAAUUCUAGAGCUAAUACAUGCUAAAAACCCCGACUUCGGAAGGGGUGUAUUUAUUAGAUAAAAAACCAAUGCCCUUCGGGGCUCCUUGGUGAUUCAUGAUAACUUAACGGAUCGCAUGGCCUUGCGCCGGCGACGGUUCAUUCAAAUUUCUGCCCUAUCAACUUUCGAUUGUAGGGUAUUGGCCUACAAUGGUUUCAACGGGUAACGGGGAGUUAGGGCUCGACUCCGGAGAGGGAGCCUGAGAAACGGCUACCACAUCCAAGGAAGGCAGCAGGCGCGCAAAUUACCCAAUCCCGACACGGGGAGGUAGUGACAAUAAAUACUGAUACAGGGCUCUUUUGGGUCUUGUAAUUGGAAUGAGUACAAUUUAAAUACCUUAACGAGGAACAAUUGGAGGGCAAGUCUGGUGCCAGCAGCCGCGGUAAUUCCAGCUCCAAUAGCGUAUAUUAAAGUUGUUGCAGUUAAAAAGCUCGUAGUUGAACCUUGGGCCUGGCUGGCCGGUCCGCCUCACCGCGUGCACUGGUCCGGCCGGGCCUUUCCUUCUGGAGAGCCGCAUGCCCUUCACUGGGUGUGUCGGGGAACCAGGACUUUUACUUUGAGAAAAUUAGAGUGUUCAAAGCAGGCCUUUGCUCGAAUACGUUAGCAUGGAAUAAUAGAAUAGGACGUGCGGUCCUAUUUUGUUGGUUUCUAGGACCGCCGUAAUGAUUAAUAGGGAUAGUCGGGGGCAUCAGUAUUCAAUUGUCAGAGGUGAAAUUCUUGGAUUUAUUGAAGACUAACUACUGCGAAAGCAUUUGCCAAGGAUGUUUUCAUUAAUCAGUGAACGAAAGUUAGGGGAUCGAAGACGAUCAGAUACCGUCGUAGUCUUAACCGUAAACUAUGCCGACUAGGGAUCGGGCGAUGUUAUUAUUUUGACUCGCUCGGCACCUUACGAGAAAUCAAAGU
Molecule: ribosomal RNA, 1025 nt
Filed under: Hysterium angustatum
Lineage: Eukaryota; Fungi; Ascomycota; Dothideomycetes; Hysteriales; Hysteriaceae
Description: SSU rRNA
Rfam family: Eukaryotic small subunit ribosomal RNA
Source: RNAcentral